RNAcentral lists this ribosomal RNA (240 nucleotides) under uncultured Glomus. RNAcentral's name for it is "partial 18S ribosomal RNA". It matches the Rfam family "Eukaryotic small subunit ribosomal RNA", at positions 569 to 815 of the family's 1831-position model. Lineage: Eukaryota; Fungi; Glomeromycota; Glomeromycetes; Glomerales; Glomeraceae. The record is from RNAcentral.
AGCAGCCGCGGUAAUUCCAGCUCCAAUAGCGUAUAUUAAAGUUGUUGCAGUUAAAAAGCUCGUAGUUGAAUUUCGGGGUUAGUAGGUUGGUCAUGCCUCUGGUAUGUACUGGUCUCACUGAUUCCUCCUUCCUGAUGAACCUUAAUGCCAUUAAUUUGGUGUUUUGGGGAAUUUGGACUGUUACUUUGAAAAAUUAGAGUGUUUAAAGCAAGCUAACGCUUGAAUACAUUAGCAUGGAAU